RNAcentral lists this ribosomal RNA (253 nucleotides) under uncultured bacterium. RNAcentral describes it as "partial 16S ribosomal RNA". It matches the Rfam family "Bacterial small subunit ribosomal RNA", at positions 524 to 776 of the family's 1533-position model. The record is from RNAcentral.
UACGGAGGAGGCAAGCGUUAUCCGGAAUUAUUGGGCGUAAAGCGUCCGCAGGUGGCGAUUCAAGUCUGCGGUUAAAGACUGGAGCUUAACCCUGGAAAGGCCGUGGAAACUGAAACGCUAGAGUGCAGUAGGGGUAGAGGGAAUUCCCGGUGUAGCGGUGAAAUGCGUAGAGCUCGGGAAGAACAUCGGUGGCGAAAGCGCUCUGCUGGACUGCAACUGACACUCAGGGACGAAAGCUAGGGGAGCGAAUGGG